Molecule: long non-coding RNA, 285 nt
Organism: Neltuma alba
Lineage: Eukaryota; Viridiplantae; Streptophyta; Magnoliopsida; Fabales; Fabaceae
Exons: 4
Source: RefSeq, a predicted model, not a curated record
GAAAAUGACCAGGAUAUUCAAGAGUAGUAGACCAGAGGACACAUGAAGUGACGAACUUUGCUGACAUAUAAAUUACAUUUGAGGUCAAUUUCUGCCACAUUUGAAGAAUUUUGCAACUAAGCACCAAUUAUCCAAAACGAGUAGAAGGUGCAAAAAGAAGCUUGAAGGGUGAGACAAAGUUAACAUCUUUAUUUUAUGAACUUACAAAGUAAGAUGGUUGGUAGAAGUUUCUUGAAAGGGGGUCAACUUUGGGAAUACAAAAGUUCUGAUAUUUUCAAGGGCAGA